CUUGAGGUCUAUCACGACCUCCGACCUCCUGUUCUGCACACCGUUGGAAGCUCCUCAGAGUAACACCGGUUUUGCUCUGCUCACAGGUCUAUUUCUUAGGCCUGUUGACAAAGCACUGCAAGACAGCA
Molecule: small nucleolar RNA, 128 nt
Filed under: Chinchilla lanigera (long-tailed chinchilla)
Lineage: Eukaryota; Metazoa; Chordata; Mammalia; Rodentia; Chinchillidae
Source: RNAcentral